Molecule: long non-coding RNA, 1566 nt
Filed under: Pelobates cultripes (western spadefoot toad)
Lineage: Eukaryota; Metazoa; Chordata; Amphibia; Anura; Pelobatidae
Source: RNAcentral
AAAUUAAUCAAUUAUUAACAUGAUACAAUCAAGGCUAAAGUGAAAAGAUAAGGCUUUGUGCAUUUGUACAAAGGUGAAUUGUGUUUAAUGAUGUUAAAAAGAGCAUACCUAAAAAUAAUAAUACUUUGAUACAUUAUGCAAAGGAUUGCAAAUCCAUAGAUAAGCCUUCCAGUGGAAGUGCUUAAUCAUUAAAUGUGCUCAUAUAUAUGUACAUCUUACUAAGCAGGAUUAGAUAUUAUUAUCAUUAUUAUUAUAUUUAUAUAGCGCCAACAAAUUCCAUAGUGCUUUACAAUGGGUGGACUAAUAAACAUGAAAUUGUAACCAGGCAAGUUUGACACAGAAACAGAGGGGUUAAGGGCCCUGCUCAAUGAGCUUACAUGCUAGAGGGAGUGGGUUAAAGUGACACAAAAGAUAUGAGAAGUAUUAGGGAAGUAGACUGGUAGAAUAGUAUUCAAUGAAGACUUAGUGUGGGCUUUUUGGAGCCAUUAACAGUUUAAUUGAUAUGCUUUUGUGAAAAAGUGAGUUUUAAAUUAUUUUUUGAAGGAGUGGAGACUGGGUGAGUGUCUAACUGAAAAUGGAAGAGAAUUCCACAGGAACAGUGCAGUUUUGAAGAAGUCUUGAAUGUGAGCAUCAGAGUUGGAAGUAUGAACAGAGGAUAGACGUAGGUCUUCGGCAGAGCAUAGGGGCCCAGAUGGGACAUACUUGUGUGUCAGGGAGGAUAGAUAGGUGAGAGCAGCAUUAUGUAGAGAUUUGAAAGCAAGAACCAAUAUUUUAUCAUUGAGCCCCAUCUCUUACGGGAAGCCAAUGCAGGGACUGACAGAGGGGUGAGGCGUGGGAGGUGCAGGCGGACAGGAAGAUGAGCCUCACCGCUGCAUUCAUUAUAGACCGCAAUGGGGCAAGUUGGGAACAUGUAAGACCACUAAGAAAUGGAUUGCAGUAGUUGAGGCGAGACUACUGCCGGAUGUGCACAUUGCUUUUGAGAUGGAAGCGUCAGGAUUUGUUGAUUGACUGGACAUGAGGGGUGAAGGAGAGGCUUAGAAAUAGCAGAGAGGCUGUCAGAGACACUAGUCAAAAGGGGCGGGAUAGAUCAGGGGAGGACAGAUAGAUUUGUGUGUCAUCCACAUAGAAGUGAUAUUGAAAGCCAAAGGAGCUGAUGCGUUUAACAAAGGAAGCAGUAUUGAUCGAGAAAAGUAGGGGACCUAGGACUGAACCUUGGGGGAUACCAACAGACAAAGGUUUGGUGGAAGAGGCAGAGCCAGAGAAAGAAACACUAAAAAAGUGCUUGGUGAGGUAGGAGGAGCACCAGGAGAGAGCAAUAUCUCGUAGACUGAGAUUACGGAGGAUGAGAAGAAGCUGUUGAUGGUCAACAGUAUCAAAAGCAGCGGAAAGGUAAAGGAGAAUUAGGAUAGAGUAGUGACCAUAAGAUUUUGCAGCGAGUAGAUCAUUUGAUACUUUGGUCAGAGCCGUUUCCACAGAGUGCUGAGCACGGAAACCAGACUGAAGUGGGUCGAGCAGAGCAUUGGAUUUGAGGAAGUCUGUCAAUCUCGCAUACACAAGUCUUUCAAG